This 378-nucleotide ribosomal RNA is filed under the name uncultured bacterium. RNAcentral describes it as "bacterial SSU rRNA". It matches the Rfam family "Bacterial small subunit ribosomal RNA", at positions 362 to 744 of the family's 1533-position model. The record is from RNAcentral.
UUUUGGACAAUGGGGGCAACCCUGAUCCAGCCAUGCCGCGUGAGUGAAGAAGGCCUUCGGGUUGUAAAGCUCUUUCGGACGGAACGAAAUGGGCGGGACUAAUACUCCUGUCUGAUGACGGUACCGUAAGAAGAAGCACCGGCUAACUACGUGCCAGCAGCCGCGGUAAUACGUAGGGUGCGAGCGUUAAUCGGAAUUACUGGGCGAAAGCGUGCGCAGGCGGUUUCGUAAGCUGGAGGUAAAUCCCCGGGCUAACCUGGGAAUGGCCUUCAGACUGCAGGCAGGGUGCGGCAGGGGGGGGUGAAUUCCACGUGAGCAGUAAAUGCGAAGUGUGGGGAACACCAUGGGAGGAGCUCCUGGCCCGACUGCGUAGUACAA